GUGCUUGCUUUGGCAGCACAUAUACUAAAAUUGGAACGAUGGCAUUAGCAUGCCCUUCUGCAAGAUGACAUGCAUAUGCUUGAAGCUUUCCUUCUUUGA
RNAcentral lists this small nuclear RNA (99 nucleotides) under Chinchilla lanigera (long-tailed chinchilla). Lineage: Eukaryota; Metazoa; Chordata; Mammalia; Rodentia; Chinchillidae. The record is from RNAcentral.